AGAGUUUGAUCAUGGCUCAGGAUGAACGCUAGCGGCAGGCUUAAUACAUGCAAGUCGAGGGGCAGCGCGGGUAGCAAUACCUGGCGGCGACCGGCAAACGGGUGCGGAACACGUACACAACCUUCCCUUGAGGCGGGGGAUAGCCCAGAGAAAUUUGGAUUAAUACCCCAUAAGAUAUUGUCCCGGCAUCGGGAAGAUAUUAAAGAUUUAUCACCUUAGGAUGGGUGUGCGUAUGAUUAGGUAGUUGGUGCGGGUAACGGCCCACCAAGCCAUCGAUCAUUAACUGGUGUGAGAGCACGACCAGUCACACGGGCACUGAGACACGGGCCCGACUCCUACGGGAGGCAGCAGUAAGGAAUAUUGGUCAAUGGACGGAAGUCUGAACCAGCCAUGCCGCGUGAAGGAUGACGGCCCUCUGGGUUGUAAACUUCUUUUAUCUGGGACGAAAAAGGGCCAUUCUUGGUCAACUGACGGUACCAGAGGAAUAAGCACCGGCUAACUCCGUGCCAGCAGCCGCGGUAAUACGGAGGGUGCAAGCGUUAUCCGGAUUUACUGGGUUUAAAGGGAGCGCAGGCGGAUUGGUAAGUCAGUGGUGAAAUACCCGUGCUUAACAUGGGAACUGCCAUUGAUACUAUCAGUCUUGAAUGUUGUUGAGGUUUGCGGAAUGGGUCAUGUAGCGGUGAAAUGCAUAGAUAUGACCCGGAACACCUAUUGCGAAGGCAGCAGGCUAAACAAAUAUUGACGCUGAGGCUCGAAAGCGUGGGGAUCAAACAGGAUUAGAUACCCUAGUAGUCC
This 795-nucleotide ribosomal RNA is filed under the name uncultured bacterium. RNAcentral describes it as "bacterial SSU rRNA". It matches the Rfam family "Bacterial small subunit ribosomal RNA", at positions 8 to 796 of the family's 1533-position model. The record is from RNAcentral.